This is a long non-coding RNA of Schistocerca cancellata (South American locust), 1458 nucleotides long. RefSeq lists it as uncharacterized. The transcript has 3 exons. The record is from RefSeq and is a predicted model, not a curated record. Lineage: Eukaryota; Metazoa; Arthropoda; Insecta; Orthoptera; Acrididae.
UCUCAGGGAAGUGAGAACACCUUGCAAAGUAACCAACUGUUUCCGAAGCAAACAUACCAUAUUUGUUCAUACCUGCGGAUUAUGUUAAUGGGUAUUUUCACUAAUAUACCAUAGUGCCGGGCAUUGAAUACAUCACCAAAACGAUUCAUUUUCCUUGCGGUUUGCGGUGCUAAAUCGUCGGAAAAAGUGACAUCGGUGGAUAAUCAUUCUACCAAAACAGUCGUUAAAACUAUACUUAGGAGUUUACAGACAACAAAGCACAACUGAAUAUUGUGUUCAAGAUUGCAACAGCAUAAGAACAAGCUGAUAACAGCACCAUAAAUAUGGAUUCAUAACCUUCACAACAGAUCUGACGCGCAAGUUAUGUGGCAUAGAACAUGUUAGAAGUGAUCUUUCAAAUGUACCAAUCUCUUCCUCUUCAACUUCAUCAAAAGAUGUCAAUGUCCAACAUGGAUGUAGAUGCUUCAGUGCUAGUUCUGUCAUUGCUGAGUCACCUGCGACAGAAAUUGAUUAAGAAAUCAGGGCACACUGUACCCUAUGACAUACAAACUGAUAAAGAGACACCAUUUUGGAACAAUGGUAAGAUAAUCUGAUUCAAAAUUUACCUAUAAUUUUUCAUGUUAUCUAGUAUAAACUAUAUCCCAAAUAUUGUAGUAAAUAAGUGUAAAUUAGUGAUACACCUAAUGUGCUUCCAAGGGUAUGGGUGUUAAUGUAUUGUGCAGCGUGUUACAGUUAUAGCAUAUGUAAUGUGACAUUUGGCUUAUUUUGACAGGAAUAAUGUUUAUACAAUUAGAAAGAAAAUAGGAAAUUCUUCAAGUGCAAAUAAUGCCACAUAUUUCCGUGAAUAGUGAAAUAUCUUGUUAAAAACAAGGGUGUUACAGGAACAAAGAAAUCAACUACUUAAUUCCAUUAAUGCUCUCACUUUAAAUGUGAAAUUGUCUACUAACAAUUUGAAGCUGUAAAACACAUAUUUAAGAUGUCUAUCAACAAAUACAAAUGUAAUCUGUUGUUACUGCUAGAAACAAAUAUGUUAUCGAGUACAAAAUUUUUCACUCUCAGUGUGGAUUUGACGUGUCCUCCUUCAGCUACUGAUCGCUUGCAUUUACUUGGUCCUUGAGCAUAGGAUGCUGGAAAUGGAAGCUUGUGAUUGGCUCAUAGCACAUUGGCUGCUGAGACAAGCCCCGUCUCCUUUUCCCAGAGCAGCCAGCUUAUACUGUAUAAAAGAAACGAACUUCACUGUAUUAAUGCAUCACAGAAGUGACACAAAAGUUAAUAGUCAGUCCCUUUUUUGUAAAUAAUAUUGUUCACCAGAAACAACAACACACACAGAUCAAAACUGUAUUCACAACAGCUUACUGUCAUGUUGGCAAUAUGAGUGUAAACAUGCCUUAAUUGCAUAAAGUCAGCCAGUUCCAGCAAUCUCAGAAUGACCAAGUAAAAGUGCGCUAGCAGUAGUUG